Molecule: unclassified non-coding RNA, 572 nt
Filed under: Hevea brasiliensis (rubber tree)
Lineage: Eukaryota; Viridiplantae; Streptophyta; Magnoliopsida; Malpighiales; Euphorbiaceae
Source: RNAcentral
GUCAAUUAGCUCUUACAUACAAAGUCUACUGCUAUUCCCAUUUUACCCUUGGGCCGAAAUUGUGCGGUUGGGUCAAUAUGCGCGAAAUUCUUCACAUUCAAGGAGGGCAAUGUGGGAACCAAAUUGGAUCAAAAUUCUGGGAGGUUGUCUGUGAUGAACAUGGGAUUGAUCCGACUGGCCGGUAUACCGGAGAUUCAGAUUUACAGCUAGAGAGAGUGAAUGUAUAUUACAAUGAGGCUAACAAUGGCAGGUAUGUGCCCCGGGCUGUGCUUAUGGACCUUGAGCCUGGUACUAUGGACAGUGUAAGGACUGGCCCUUAUGGGCAAAUUUUUCGGCCAGAUAACUUUGUAUUUGGGCAGACUGGGGCUGGAAAUAAUUGGGCUAAGGGCCAUUAUACUGAAGGUGCUGAGCUGAUUGACUCGGUCCUUGAUGUUGUGAGGAAGGAGGUAGAGAACUGUGAUUGCCUGCAAGGAUUUCAAGUAUGUCAUUCGUUGGGAGGGGGAACUGGGUCUGGUAUGGGAACUCUACUAAUUUCAAAAAUUAGAGAAGAGUACCCAGAUAGAAUGAUGCUU